CCAGCCUGCAUUUUCUAUCGUUUUCGUGACUCCAGUUGUUGGACGAUGAAAUUCAGGAGGGAGGGAUGAGAUAUCUCCAGAGGCUUAGUUUAACAUCAUCAAAGCCUCUUCCCUCCCCCUUGCACAUUACAGUAUCUGCUUUACUAAUCAGAGGGAAAUUUAUCAUGUAGGAUUUAGGGGAGAUAUUUAUGGUGCCUGUAAGCACAAUGGCUUUGCCUUGUAUGAUGUCAGCUAUUCUCCUGAGGAGAUACAAGACCACAGCUGGUGAGAGAACAGACCGGGGACCAUUUCACGAUUUUAAAACUGAAGACCUUGUUGAAGAAGAGGGAGUUUAAAUAACAUUUGCUUUUGUUUUGUUCUUUAUAUGAUGAGCAGGUGUGGGAGUCAAUUCGAGAGGGCCGCUUAGAAGAUCGUGGAAAGAGGGAGUGAGACACAUCGUCCCUUUAGGUCCUCACAGCAGUUGUUUAAAAACCUGACCGAUAAGGAAGGUGAAACUCAGGGGGAUUGUUACUUGCCUGGUGAGGUAAACAUUAUUUAUUUUCGUGGCCAGUGUCUGAAUUUCUUUCUUUCUAUUAUUUUUGGGAAUUGCUCACUGUUUGUCGGUCUGUUUGUUUGUUUUUUAAGUUUAUUUAUUUUGAGAGACAGAGAGAGAGUGCAAGCAGGGGGAGGGGCAAAGAGAGGGGAGAAAGAGAGACUCCCAAGUAGGACCCACACUGUCAGCACAGAGCCUGACUCGGGGCGAGAUCCCACAAACCCUGAACUCAUGACCUGAGCUGAAGUCCACAGCCGUUGCUCAACCAGCUGAACCACCCAAGGGCCCUGGGAAUUGC
Molecule: long non-coding RNA, 830 nt
Filed under: Felis catus (domestic cat)
Lineage: Eukaryota; Metazoa; Chordata; Mammalia; Carnivora; Felidae
Description: lncRNA (ENSFCAG00000041067.2)
Source: RNAcentral